UUAAGGUGUGUAUGGAUACAGCUUGGUAACCAGUACAGUGCUUUGAGAUGGUCCCAUCCAACAUAUCCAUAUCCGGUUGGGUUGCUGGCAGAAUUUGGAUGCAGAUUGUUGAAAGGAUUUACUUAUGGUUGGAAUGCAAAAGAAAAGGACUUGGGGUUUUUUUUUUUUUUUUUAAUCCAAAUGUCUUCCUGCAUGCUUAGCAUCAACAAGACUGAUUUGCCUCUAACAGCUCCGGUGAAUUGACCUGGCUCUCCUAUAUAAUAUGUGGAUCACUUCCAAAUUGGUUGAAUCAAUACAGUUGCAUUGAAGCUUCAAUUGCUAGCUGUUGCCCAAGCUUGACAGUACAGAUAUGUGGGCUUUAUCACUACAUGG
Quercus robur (English oak) is the source of this 372-nucleotide long non-coding RNA. RefSeq lists it as uncharacterized. The record is from RefSeq and is a predicted model, not a curated record. The transcript is spliced from 3 exons. NCBI's taxonomy places the organism in Eukaryota, Viridiplantae, Streptophyta, Magnoliopsida, Fagales, Fagaceae.